RNAcentral lists this ribosomal RNA (409 nucleotides) under uncultured bacterium. Its description in RNAcentral is "bacterial SSU rRNA". It matches the Rfam family "Bacterial small subunit ribosomal RNA", at positions 917 to 1341 of the family's 1533-position model. The record is from RNAcentral.
GGGCCCGCACAAGCGGUGGAGCAUGUGGUUUAAUUCGAUGCAACGCGAAGAACCUUACCAGGUCUUGACAUGUCACUUUUUUCUUGAAAAAGAAAGUUCCCGAGUGAACACAGGUGGUGCAUGGCUGUCGUCAGCUCGUGUCUUGAGAUGUUGGGUUAAGUCCCGCAACGAGCGCAACCCUUAUUCUGUGUUGCUAUUUAUAGGAAACUCAGAAGACUGCCGGUGAUAAGCCGGAGGAAGGUGAGGAUGACGUCAAGUCAGCAUGCCCCUUACGACCUGGGCCACACACGUGCUACAAUGGCCGGGACAAAGAGAUGCAAUCUCGCGAGAGCAAGCUAACCUCAAAAACCCGGUCUUAGUUCGGAUUGUAGGCUGAAACUCGCCUACAUGAAGCUGGAAUCGCUAGUAA